UUAUAAGCUUUAGGUUUCGUUUGUUUAUUGGUUAAUGUGCCUUUUGCAUCAUGCUUAAAUGAGAUGCUUGAAUGACUUUCUGUUAUCGAAAUGUACAGAUCUUUAAUGUUAUACGGUUGCCUGGGUAAGGGUAUGUUUUUAUUGUGUAAAUUGCAUUAGUGUUGUGAUAAAUUAUUCGGUGUGCAUUAUAUCUAUUUUAUAGCUUUAUAUUUUUAUAUCAGCCUCAUGGCUAAGAUGUCAUGGGGAUUUAUAUAUUUUUCUUUUUUUUCUGUUUUAAUAGGGUUAAAAUUACCUCUUUGUAGUAGAAGUGUUAAAAUUUUUUGUGAGAUGCUAUGUAAAUUAUUUUUAAAGGCUGUAUUUUAGGCGACUGGGUGUAGAUAUUUAUGUUUAAAUAAGUAAUAUUAUUAGUCCUUGUUGUUUCUCGAGUUUUGCCCGUCUGUUUAUUAAAAACAUUUCUAUAUAGUAUUUUUUAUAGUAGUACCUGCUCUAUGUGUAAAUAAAUGGCCGCAGUAUUUUGACUGUGCGAAGGUAGCAUAAUUAAUUGCCUUGUAAUUGAGGGCUUGUUUGAAUGGUUUGACGAGGUAGUAAUGAACAUCGAGACUUUUUUUGAAAUUAGUGUGGAGAGCACAGAAACUUCUCUUUUUAAUUAGACGGAAAGACCCCGGGAUCUUUCUAUUUUGCCUGGGGCAGGUUAAAUUAUUUCAUUUUAAUUGAGACCCUAGUGGUUUAUUGGUGUAAGUUACCCCGGGGAUAACAGUAUAAUAGCUUAAUAGAGAUCAUAUCGAUUGAGCUGUUUGUCACCUCGAUGUUGACUUAGGUUUAGACUGAGGCGCAGUAGUUUUAGUUGCUGGUCUGUUCGACCAUUUAUACCUCCAUGAGUUGAGUUAAGACCGGCGUGAGCCAGGUCGGUUCUUAUCUAUUAUUCUAGCGCAUUAGUACGAAAGGAUUGUGCGCUUUUUUGUU
This 963-nucleotide ribosomal RNA is filed under the name Anindobothrium lisae. RNAcentral describes it as "16S ribosomal RNA". The stretch from base 644 to 922 matches the Rfam family "Bacterial large subunit ribosomal RNA", at positions 2073 to 2647 of the family's 2925-position model. Lineage: Eukaryota; Metazoa; Platyhelminthes; Cestoda; Phyllobothriidea; Phyllobothriidae. The record is from RNAcentral.